AGGAUGAACGCUGGCGGCGUGCUUAACACAUGCAAGUCGAACGAUGAACCUCACUUGUGGGGGAUUAGUGGCGAACGGGUGAGUAACACGUGAGUAACCUGCCCUUAACUCUGGGAUAAGCCUUGGAAACGGGGUCUAAUACCGGAUAUUUACGAUUGAUCGCAUGGUUGGUUGUGGAAAGAUUUAUUGGUUUUGGAUGGACUCGCGGCCUAUCAGCUUGUUGGUGAGGUAAUGGCUUACCAAGGCGACGACGGGUAGCCGGCCUGAGAGGGUGACCGGCCACACUGGGACUGAGACACGGCCCAGACUCCUACGGGAGGCAGCAGUGGGGAAUAUUGCACAAUGGGCGCAAGCCUGAUGCAGCGACGCCGCGUGAGGGAUGGAGGCCUUCGGGUUGUAAACCUCUUUCAGUAGGGAACAAGGCCGGCUUUGGUUGGUUGAGGGUACCUGCAGAAGAAGCGCCGGCUAACUACGUGCCAGCAGCCGCGGU
RNAcentral lists this ribosomal RNA (490 nucleotides) under uncultured bacterium. RNAcentral's name for it is "SSU rRNA". It matches the Rfam family "Bacterial small subunit ribosomal RNA", at positions 26 to 521 of the family's 1533-position model. The record is from RNAcentral.